RNAcentral lists this long non-coding RNA (441 nucleotides) under Homo sapiens (human). RNAcentral's name for it is "HSALNT0403817". Lineage: Eukaryota; Metazoa; Chordata; Mammalia; Primates; Hominidae. The record is from RNAcentral.
AAAUUUCUACCAGGCAGGAAACAGCUAGAAACAAGGUUGAGUGUUCAGUCUUCCUUCCUGCAGGAAAGAAUUGUUCCGCCUCUUAAAGGAGAUCCGUGGGGAAAGACCUGGCUGGACAGCCUUUUACAUAGCCCCAGUGAAAACAAUGCAGGAAUCUGAAAAGGUCAUUAGGAAAAUAAAAACUUAAAGUCCUGAAAAGCUUUCUGACAAUUGUCCAAGGCCAUGCAGUCCUGAGGACACAGAGGACACCAGCCAUCCCUCAGCCACGACCCACGAGCCAACCCAAUCAGACCACAUCUUGUCUUUCAGGAAAAUGCACUGAAUUUUGUACCAUGCCCCCAAAAGCCUGGAUCAAAUUAAGAGUUUUAAUACUCAAAGUCAUUUAUAUUGUGUCUCUAAAGCAUAUACAAUAAAUGUACGCAUCACUCAGGAUAUAUUAAA